UGGGGAAUAUUGGACAAUGGGCGCAAGCCUGAUCCAGCCAUGCCGCGUGGAUGAUGAAGGCCCUAGGGUUGUAAAGUCCUUUUAACGGGGAAGAUAAUGACGGUACCCGUAGAAUAAGCCCCGGCUAACUUCGUGCCAGCAGCCGCGGUAAUACGAAGGGGGCUAGCGUUGCUCGGAAUUACUGGGCGUAAAGCGCACGUAGGCGGCUUCUUAAGUCGGAGGUGAAAUCCUGGAGCUCAACUCCAGAACUGCCUUCGAUACUGGGAAGCUUGAGUUCGGGAGAGGUGAGUGGAACUGCGAGUGUAGAGGUGAAAUUCGUAGAUAUUCGCAAGAACACCAGUGGCGAAGGCGGCUCACUGGCCCGAUACUGACGCUGAGGUGCGAAAGCGUGGGGAGCAAACA
Molecule: ribosomal RNA, 402 nt
Filed under: uncultured Rhodoplanes sp.
Lineage: Bacteria; Pseudomonadati; Pseudomonadota; Alphaproteobacteria; Hyphomicrobiales; Nitrobacteraceae
Also listed under: 1 other name
Description: partial 16S ribosomal RNA
Rfam family: Bacterial small subunit ribosomal RNA
Source: RNAcentral